GACGGGGCCCGCACAAGCGGUGGAGCAUGUGGUUUAAUUCGACGCAACGCGCAGAACCUUAUCUGGGCUUGACAUCCCGAUCGUACUUUCUGGAAACAGUUAGGUCAGUUCGGCUGGAUCGGUGACAGGUGCUGCAUGGCUGUCGUCAGCUCGUGUCGUGAGAUGUUGGGUUAAGUCCCGCAACGAGCGCAACCCUUGUCCUUAGUUGCCAGCAUUAAGUUGGGCACUCUAAGGAGACUGCCGGUGUUAAACCGGAGGAAGGUGGGGAUGACGUCAAGUCCUCAUGGCCCUUAUGUCCAGGGCUACACACGUGCUACAAUGGCCGGUACAAGGGGCUGCAAUACCGCAAGGUGGAGCGAACCCCAAAAAGCCGGUCUCAGUUCGGAUUGCAGGCUGCAAUUCGCCUGCAUGAAGUCGGAAUCGCUAGUAAUCGCAGGUCAGCAUACUGCGGUGAAUACGUUCCCGGGCCUU
This 471-nucleotide ribosomal RNA is filed under the name uncultured Pelobacter sp. RNAcentral's name for it is "bacterial SSU rRNA". It matches the Rfam family "Bacterial small subunit ribosomal RNA", at positions 916 to 1381 of the family's 1533-position model. Lineage: Bacteria; Pseudomonadati; Thermodesulfobacteriota; Desulfuromonadia; Desulfuromonadales; Desulfuromonadaceae. The record is from RNAcentral.